Cercocebus atys (sooty mangabey) is the source of this 424-nucleotide RNA transcript. It is a transcript of the gene named RNA-binding motif protein, X chromosome-like, with no coding region annotated. Lineage: Eukaryota; Metazoa; Chordata; Mammalia; Primates; Cercopithecidae. The record is from RefSeq and is a predicted model, not a curated record. The transcript is spliced from 4 exons.
CUCCUGUAUCACGUGGAAGAGAUAGUUUAUGGAGGUCCUCACCCUCCGAAGGGAGCCACUGCCCUCUCCGUAGAGAAUGUUUAUUUGCCCCAUAGAGAUGAUGGUAUCUCUUAAAAGAAAGAGUAUUCAAGCAGAGAUUACCCAAGUUCUCGUGAUACUAGAGAUUAUGCACCACCACCACGAGAUUAUACUUACCGUGAUUAUGGUCAUUCCAGUUCACGUGAUGACUAUCCAUCAAGAGGCUAUAGCGAUAGAGAUGGAUAUGGUCGUGAUCGUGACUAUUCAGAUCAUCCAAGUGGAGGUUCCUACAGAGAUUCAUAUGAGAGUUAUGGUAACUCACGUAGUGCUCCACCUACACGAGGGCCCCCGCCAUCUUAUGGUGGAAGCAGUCGCUAUGAUGAUUACAGCAGCUCACGUGACGGAU